This 329-nucleotide long non-coding RNA is filed under the name Nicotiana benthamiana. Its description in RNAcentral is "long non-coding RNA (NBEN_LNC009752)". Lineage: Eukaryota; Viridiplantae; Streptophyta; Magnoliopsida; Solanales; Solanaceae. The record is from RNAcentral.
AACUCCUCCCUUACAUAUAUUUUUUUUAUGGAAUGAUAUGAUCAGCUAGUCGUAGCCGCAAAUCAGCUACGCUCAAUGCGGGAUUCUGUUGGAUAAGAUCUUUUAACUUGCGUUAGUAAUCUUAGGCCCCUUUAUUAGGUGAUUCACUACCUAAGCGAAGAAAAGGCUGGAUCAAUCAAAGGGGGUACUACGAGCCCUCUGCCCCACGCAUCUAACCAGCUCGCGUGGUUCACCGGUUCCACCGACUAGACCAAAAGAGUGAUUCAGUCGAUACAGAGGUGCGCUUGAAGUGGGGGGUGUGCUGUCCCUAUUGGGCUGGGCCCUUCCGG